Molecule: ribosomal RNA, 406 nt
Filed under: uncultured bacterium
Lineage: Bacteria
Description: partial 16S ribosomal RNA
Rfam family: Bacterial small subunit ribosomal RNA
Source: RNAcentral
AUUGAACGCUGGCGGCAGGCCUAACACAUGCAAGUCGAACGAGUGGCGGACGGGUGAGUAAGGUAUGGGACAAGGACUGAUGGAGGGGGUCAACUACUGGACACGGUAGCUAAUACCGCAUACCAUCAGCUGUGCCCAGAUGGGAUUAGCUUGUUGGUGGGGUAACGGCUCACCACUGCGACGAUCCCUAGAUGGUCUGAGAGGAGGCCCAGCCACACUGGAACUGAGACACGGUCCAGACUCCUACGGGAGGCAGCAGUGGGGAAUAUUGCACAAUGGGCGCAAGCCUGAUGCAGCCAUGCCGCGUGUAUGAAGAAGGCCUUCGGGUUGUAAAGUACUUUCAGCGGGGAGGCGUUACCCGCAGAAGAAGCACCGGCUAACUCCGUGCCAGCCGCCGCGGUAAUAC